RNAcentral lists this ribosomal RNA (321 nucleotides) under Halonotius roseus. RNAcentral's name for it is "bacterial SSU rRNA". It matches the Rfam family "Archaeal small subunit ribosomal RNA", at positions 1 to 326 of the family's 1478-position model. Lineage: Archaea; Methanobacteriati; Methanobacteriota; Halobacteria; Halobacteriales; Haloferacaceae. The record is from RNAcentral.
AUUCCGGUUGAUCCUGCCGGAGGACAUUGCUAUUGGGAUUCGAUUUAGCCAUGCUAGUCGAGCGAGUUUAGACUCGCGGCGCAUAGCUCAGUAACACGUGGCCAAGCUACCCUUCAGUCAGCGAUACCCUCGGGAAACUGAGGCUAAUAGCUGAUACGAAACACCAGCUGGAAUGCGGUGUUUACGAAAGAUACCGCUGAAGGAUGCGGCUGCGGCCGAUUAGGUAGACGGUGGGGUAACGGCCCACCGUGCCAGUAAUCGGUACGGGUGAUGAGAGUCAGAGCCCGGAGACGGAAUCUGAGACAAGAUUCCGGGCCCUAC